AUGCAAGUCGAACGCUUUGUGGUUCAACUGAUUUGAAGAGCUUGCUCAGAUAUGACGAUGGACAUUGCAAAGAGUGGCGAACGGGUGAGUAACACGUGGGAAACCUACCUCUUAGCAGGGGAUAACAUUUGGAAACAGAUGCUAAUACCGUAUAACAAUGACAACCGCAUGGUUGUUAUUUAAAAGAUGGUUCUGCUAUCACUAAGAGAUGGUCCCGCGGUGCAUUAGCUAGUUGGUAAGGUAAUGGCUUACCAAGGCGAUGAUGCAUAGCCGAGUUGAGAGACUGAUCGGCCACAAUGGGACUGAGACACGGCCCAUACUCCUACGGGAGGCAGCAGUAGGGAAUCUUCCACAAUGGGCGAAAGCCUGAUGGAGCAACGCCGCGUGUGUGAUGAAGGGUUUCGGCUCGUAAAACACUGUUGUAAGAGAAGAAUGACAUUGAGAGUAACUGUUCAAUGUGUGACGGUAUCUUACCAGAAAGGAACGGCUAAAUACGUGCCAGCAGCCGCGGUAAUACGUAUGUUCCAAGCGUUAUCCGGAUUUAUUGGGCGUAAAGCGAGCGCAGACGGUUAUUUAAGUCUGAAGUGAAAGCCCUCAGCUCAACUGAGGAAUUGCUUUGGAAACUGGAUGACUUGAGUGCAGUAGAGGAAAGUGGAACUCCAUGUGUAGCGGUGAAAUGCGUAGAUAUAUGGAAGAACACCAGUGGCGAAGGCGGCUUUCUGGACUGUAACUGACGUUGAGGCUCGAAAGUGUGGGUAGCAAACAGGAUUAGAUACCCUGGUAGUCCACACCGUAAACGAUGAGUGCUAGGUGUUUGAGGGUUUCCGCCCUUAAGUGCCGCAGCUAACGCAUUAAGCACUCCGCCUGGGGAGUACGACCGCAAGGUUGAAACUCAAAGGAAUUGACGGGGACCCGCACAAGCGGUGGAGCAUGUGGUUUAAUUCGAAGCAACGCGAAGAACCUUACCAGGUCUUGACAUCCCUUGACAACUCCAGAGAUGGAGCGUUCCUUUCGGGGACAAGGUGACAGGUGGCGCAUGGCUGUCGUCACCCCGGGUCGGGAGAUGCUGGGUUAAGUCCCGCAACGAGCGCAACCCUUAUUACUAGUUGCCAGCAUUCAGUUGGGCACUGUAGUGAGACCGCCGGUGACAAACCGGAGGAAGGUUGGGAUGACGUCAAAUCAUCAUGCCCCUUAUGACCUGGGCUACACACGUGCUACAAUGGCGUAUACAACGAGUUGCCAACCCGCGAGGGUGAGCUAAUCUCUUAAAGUACGUCUCAGUUCGGAUUGUAGGCUGCAACUCGCCUACAUGAAGUCGGAAUCGCUAGUAAUCGCGGAUCAGCACGCCGCGGUGAAUACGUUCCCGGGUCUUGUACACACCGCCCGUCACACCAUGAGAGUUUGUAACACCCAAAGCCGGUGGGGUAACCUUCGGGAGCCAGCCGUCUAAGU
This 1452-nucleotide ribosomal RNA is filed under the name Weissella confusa. Its description in RNAcentral is "bacterial SSU rRNA". It matches the Rfam family "Bacterial small subunit ribosomal RNA". Lineage: Bacteria; Bacillati; Bacillota; Bacilli; Lactobacillales; Lactobacillaceae. The record is from RNAcentral.